This 253-nucleotide ribosomal RNA is filed under the name uncultured bacterium. RNAcentral describes it as "partial 16S ribosomal RNA". It matches the Rfam family "Bacterial small subunit ribosomal RNA", at positions 524 to 776 of the family's 1533-position model. The record is from RNAcentral.
GACGAACCGUGCGAACGUUGUUCGGAAUCACUGGGCUUAAAGGGCGCGUAGGCGGACUGCCAAGUCCGGGGUGAAAUCCUCCGGCUUAACCGGAGAAUUGCCUGGGAUACUGGCGGUCUUGAGGGAGGUAGGGGCACGCGGAACUUCCGGUGGAGCGGUGAAAUGCGUUGAUAUCGGAAGGAACGCCGGUGGCGAAAGCGGCGUGCUGGCCCUCUUCUGACGCUGAGGCGCGACAGCGUGGGGAGCAAACAGG